This 467-nucleotide ribosomal RNA is filed under the name uncultured bacterium. RNAcentral describes it as "partial 16S ribosomal RNA". It matches the Rfam family "Bacterial small subunit ribosomal RNA", at positions 28 to 507 of the family's 1533-position model. The record is from RNAcentral.
GAUGAACGCUGGCGGCGUGCUUAACACAUGCAAGUCGAACGGAAAGGCCCAAGCUUGCUUGUGUACUCGAGUGGCGAACGGGUGAGUAACACGUGGGUUAUCUGCCCUGCACUUCGGGAUAAGCCUGGGAAACUGGGUCUAAUACCGGAUAGGACCACUUCUGUGAUGUUGUUGUGGAAAGUUUUUUCGGUGGGGGAUGAGCUCGCGGCCUAUCAGCUUGUUGGUGGGGUAAUGGCCUACCAAGGCGUCGACGGGUAGCCGGCCUGAGAGGGUGUACGGCCACAUUGGGACUGAGAUACGGCCCAGACUCCUACGGGAGGCAGCAGUGGGGAAUAUUGCACAAUGGGCGCAAGCCUGAUGCAGCGACGCCGCGUGGGGGAUGACGGCCUUCGGGUUGUAAACUCCUUUCGCUAGGGACGAAGCGUUUUGUGACGGUACCUGGAGAAGAAGCACCGGCUAACUACGUG